AACCCUUCAAGCCUAGCUUGGUGUUGGGCGUCUGCCCCCGCGUACGCGCGAGGGCUCGCCUCAAAGUCAUUGGCAGCUGAGAUACCGGCCCCGAGCGCAGCACAAUGCGUCCUCGAUCCGCGUAGCUCGGCGUCCACGAAGCCCAUUCUUCUUU
Molecule: unclassified non-coding RNA, 154 nt
Filed under: uncultured Sporormiaceae
Lineage: Eukaryota; Fungi; Ascomycota; Dothideomycetes; Pleosporales; Sporormiaceae
Description: sequence contains ITS2
Source: RNAcentral